UUGAACGCUGGCGGCAGGCCUAACACAUGCAAGUCGAGCGGUAGAGAGAAGCUUGCUUCUCUUGAGAGCGGCGGACGGGUGAGUAAUGCCUAGGAAUCUGCCUGGUAGUGGGGGAUAACGUUCGGAAACGGACGCUAAUACCGCAUACGUCCUACGGGAGAAAGCAGGGGACCUUCGGGCCUUGCGCUAUCAGAUGAGCCUAGGUCGGAUUAGCUAGUUGGUGAGGUAAUGGCUCACCAAGGCGACGAUCCGUAACUGGUCUGAGAGGAUGAUCAGUCACACUGGAACUGAGACACGGUCCAGACUCCUACGGGAGGCAGCAGUGGGGAAUAUUGGACAAUGGGCGAAAGCCUGAUCCAGCCAUGCCGCGUGUGUGAAGAAGGUCUUCGGAUUGUAAAGCACUUUAAGUUGGGAGGAAGGGUACUUACCUAAUACGUGAGUAUUUUGACGUUACCGACAGAAUAAGCACCGGCUAACUCUGUGCCAGCAGCCGCGGUAAUACAGAGGGUGCAAGCGUUAAUCGGAAUUACUGGGCGUAAAGCGCGCGUAGGUGGUUCGUUAAGUUGGAUGUGAAAUCCCCGGGCUCAACCUGGGAACUGCAUCCAAAACUGGCGAGCUAGAGUAUGGUAGAGGGUGGUGGAAUUUCCUGUGUAGCGGUGAAAUGCGUAGAUAUAGGAAGGAACACCAGUGGCGAAGGCGACCACCUGGACUGAUACUGACACUGAGGUGCGAAAGCGUGGGGAGCAAACAGGAUUAGAUACCCUGGUAGUCCACGCCGUAAACGAUGUCAACUAGCCGUUGGGAGCCUUGAGCUCUUAGUGGCGCAGCUAACGCAUUAAGUUGACCGCCUGGGGAGUACGGCCGCAAGGUUAAAACUCAAAUGAAUUGACGGGGGCCCGCACAAGCGGUGGAGCAUGUGGUUUAAU
Molecule: ribosomal RNA, 926 nt
Filed under: uncultured bacterium
Lineage: Bacteria
Description: bacterial SSU rRNA
Rfam family: Bacterial small subunit ribosomal RNA
Source: RNAcentral